AACGCUGGCGGCAGGCUUAACACAUGCAAGUCGAGCGCCCCGCAAGGGGAGCGGCAGACGGGUGAGUAACGCGUGGGAACGUACCCUUUACUACGGAAUAACGCAUGGAAACGUGUGCUAAUACCGUAUGUGCCCUAUUGGGGAAAGAUUUAUCGGUAAAGGAUCGGCCCGCGUUGGAUUAGCUAGUUGGUGGGGUAAAGGCCUACCAAGGCGACGAUCCAUAGCUGGUCUGAGAGGAUGAUCAGCCACAUUGGGACUGAGACACGGCCCAAACUCCUACGGGAGGCAGCAGUGGGGAAUAUUGGACAAUGGGCGCAAGCCUGAUCCAGCCAUGCCGCGUGAGUGAUGAAGGCCUUAGGGUUGUAAAGCUCUUUCACCGGAGAAGAUAAUGACGGUAUCCGGAGAAGAAGCCCCGGCUAACUUCGUGCCAGCAGCCGCGGUAAUACGAANGGGGCUAGCGUUGUUCGGAUUUACUGGGCGUAAAGCGCACGUANGCGGAUCGAUCAGUCANGGGUGAAAUCCCAGANCUCAACUCUGGAACUGCCUUUGAUACUGUCGAUCUGGA
This 565-nucleotide ribosomal RNA is filed under the name Rhizobium sp. D262a. RNAcentral describes it as "bacterial SSU rRNA". It matches the Rfam family "Bacterial small subunit ribosomal RNA", at positions 32 to 645 of the family's 1533-position model. The record is from RNAcentral. Lineage: Bacteria; Pseudomonadati; Pseudomonadota; Alphaproteobacteria; Hyphomicrobiales; Rhizobiaceae.